Molecule: transfer RNA, 72 nt
Filed under: Gloeobacterales cyanobacterium ES-bin-313
Lineage: Bacteria; Bacillati; Cyanobacteriota; Cyanophyceae; Gloeobacterales
Rfam family: tRNA
About the family: Transfer RNA (tRNA) molecules are approximately 80 nucleotides in length. Their secondary structure includes four short double-helical elements and three loops (D, anti-codon, and T loops). Further hydrogen bonds mediate the characteristic L-shaped molecular structure. tRNAs have two regions of fundamental functional importance: the anti-codon, which is responsible for specific mRNA codon recognition, and the 3' end, to which the tRNAs corresponding amino acid is attached (by aminoacyl-tRNA synthetases). tRNAs cope with the degeneracy of the genetic code in two manners: having more than one tRNA (with a specific anti-codon) for a particular amino acid; and 'wobble' base-pairing, i.e. permitting non-standard base-pairing at the 3rd anti-codon position.
Source: Rfam by way of RNAcentral
GGCCUCGUGGUGCAUGGGUUAGCAUUAGCGCCUUUCAAGCGAUAGAAACGAGUUCGAGUCUCGUCGAGGCUA